CCCUUCUCUCCGGAGGAGGCGCACCAUAGAGAGACCGCUGGUGCUAAACCAGAGGAAGGCGAGGGCAACGACAGGUCAGUAUGCCCCGAAUGUCAUGGGCUACACGCGCGCUACAAAGGACGGGACAAUGGGAAGCCAGAUCGAGAGAUCGAGCUAACCCGAAACCCGUUCAUAGUUCGGAUUGUGGGCUGUAACUCGCCCACAUGAAGCUGGAUUGCGUAGUAAUCGUGUUUCAACAUAGCACGGUGAAUAUGCCCCUGCUCCUUGCACACACCGCCCGUCAAACCAUCUUAGUUGGGGGUGGGUGAGGCUGCGCUUUA
RNAcentral lists this ribosomal RNA (320 nucleotides) under uncultured archaeon. RNAcentral describes it as "bacterial SSU rRNA". It matches the Rfam family "Archaeal small subunit ribosomal RNA", at positions 1070 to 1392 of the family's 1478-position model. The record is from RNAcentral.